RNAcentral lists this ribosomal RNA (463 nucleotides) under uncultured bacterium. RNAcentral's name for it is "bacterial SSU rRNA". It matches the Rfam family "Bacterial small subunit ribosomal RNA", at positions 32 to 524 of the family's 1533-position model. The record is from RNAcentral.
AAUCAACGCUGGCGGCGUGCCUAACACAUGCAAGUCGAACGAGAAAGUGGAGCAAUCCAUGAGUAAAGUGGCGCACGGGUGAGUAACACGUGACUAACCUACCCUUGAGUGGGGGAUAACCUCGGGAAACCGGGGCUAAUACCGCAUAAUAUCGAGAGAUCAAAGGAGCAAUUCGCUUAAGGAGGGGGUCGCGGCUGAUUAGCUAGUUGGUGAGGUAAUGGCUCACCAAGGCAUGAUCAGUAUCCGGCCUGAGAGGGCGCACGGACACACUGGAACUGAAACACGGUCCAGACUCCUACGGGAGGCAGCAGUGGGGAAUUUUGCGCAAUGGGGGAAACCCUGACGCAGCAACGCCGCGUGGAGGAUGAAGUCCCUUGGGACGUAAACUCCUUUCGAUCGGGACGAUAAUGACGGUACCGAGAGAAGAAGCCCCGGCUAACUUCGUGCCAGCCGCCGCAGUAAC